Molecule: ribosomal RNA, 749 nt
Filed under: Flavobacterium sp.
Lineage: Bacteria; Pseudomonadati; Bacteroidota; Flavobacteriia; Flavobacteriales; Flavobacteriaceae
Description: bacterial SSU rRNA
Rfam family: Bacterial small subunit ribosomal RNA
Source: RNAcentral
GUCGAGGGGUAUUGGUUUUCGGACGAGAGACCGGCGCACGGGUGCGUAACGCGUAUGCAAUCUACCUUUUGCAGAGGGAUAGCCCAGAGAAAUUUGGAUUAAUACCUCAUAGUAUUAUGAUAUGGCAUCAUAUUAUAAUUAAAGUCACAACGGCAAAAGAUGAGCAUGCGUCCCAUUAGCUAGUUGGUAAGGUAACGGCUUACCAAGGCAACGAUGGGUAGGGGUCCUGAGAGGGAGAUCCCCCACACUGGUACUGAGACACGGACCAGACUCCUACGGGAGGCAGCAGUGAGGAAUAUUGGACAAUGGGCGCAAGCCUGAUCCAGCCAUGCCGCGUGCAGGAUGACGGUCCUAUGGAUUGUAAACUGCUUUUGUACGAGAAGAAACACUCCUACGUGUAGGAGCUUGACGGUAUCGUAAGAAUAAGGAUCGGCUAACUCCGUGCCAGCAGCCGCGGUAAUACGGAGGAUCCAAGCGUUAUCCGGAAUCAUUGGGUUUAAAGGGUCCGUAGGCGGUUUAGUAAGUCAGUGGUGAAAGCCCAUCGCUCAACGGUGGAACGGCCAUUGAUACUGCUAGACUUGAAUUAUUAGGAAGUAACUAGAAUAUGUAGUGUAGCGGUGAAAUGCUUAGAGAUUACAUGGAAUACCAAUUUGCGAAGGCAGGUUACUACUAAUGGAUUGACGCUGAUGGACGAAAGCGUGGGUAGCGAACAGGAUUAGAUACCCUGGUAGUCCACGCCGUAAACGAUG